This 2504-nucleotide ribosomal RNA is filed under the name human gut metagenome. RNAcentral's name for it is "bacterial LSU rRNA". It matches the Rfam family "Bacterial large subunit ribosomal RNA", at positions 14 to 2539 of the family's 2925-position model. The record is from RNAcentral.
AGAGCGUACGGUGGAUGUCUUGGCAUAUAGAGCAGAAGAAGGACGCAGAAAACGGCGAAACGCCUCGGGGAGUCGUACACAGACAACGAUCCGGGGGUAUCCGAAUGGGGAAACCCAGUCAUGCGGAAAUGCGUGGCUAUCCACAACUGAAUACAUAGGUUGCGAGAAGAAAACCCAGGGAAUUGAAACAUCUCAGUACCUGGAGGAGAAGAAAACAAAAGUGAUUCCGAAAGUAGUGGCGAGCGAAAUCGGAAGAGCCCAAACCAGUCUUGAACUGGGGUAGUAGGACCAGAAAAAGCAACAUCUGAGAGAUAGUCGAAUGAGAUUGAAAGCUCAGUCAGAGAAGGUGCAAACCCUGUAGACGAAAUUUCGAAGAGUGCGACUGGAAUCCUGAGUACGUCGGGGCACGUGGAACCCUGACGGAAGCAACCGGGACCAUCCGGUAAGGCUAAAUACUCCUAUAUGACCGAUAGUGAACCAGUACCAUGAGGGAAAGAUGAAAAGAACCGCGGGAGCGGAGUGAAAUAGAACCUGAAACCGUAUGCUUACAAAAAGUCAGAGCACAUUAAAGUGUGAUGGCGUGCCUUUUGUAGAAUGAACCGGCGAGUUACGAUAUGAUGCGAGGUUAAGUUGAAGAGACGGAGCCGUAGGGAAACCGAGUCUUAAUAGGGCGCAUUAGUAUCAUGUCGUAGACCCGAAACCAUGUGACCUACCCAUGAGCAGGUUGAAGGUGAGGUAAAACUCACUGGAGGACCGAACCAGGGCACGUUGAAAAGUGCUUGGAUGACUUGUGGGUAGCGGAGAAAUUCCAAACGAACUUGGAGAUAGCUGGUUCUCUCCGAAAUAGCUUUAGGGCUAGCGUCGACAUUAAGAUUCUUGGAGGUAGAGCACUGUUUGGGUGAGGGGUCCAUCCCGGAUUACCAAUCUCAGAUAAACUCCGAAUGCCAACGAGAUAUAAUCGGCAGUCAGACUGCGAGUGCUAAGAUCCGUAGUCGAAAGGGAAACAGCCCAGACCACCAGCUAAGGUCCCAAAAUAUAUGUUAAGUGGAAAAGGAUGUGGGGUUGCACAGACAACUAGGAUGUUAGCUUAGAAGCAGCUAUUCAUUCAAAGAGUGCGUAAUAGCUCACUAGUCGAGUGACCCUGCGCCGAAAAUGUACCGGGGCUAAAACAUAUUACCGAAGCUGUGGAUACCUUUAUAGGUAUGGUAGGAGAGCGUUCUAUGUGCGAAGAAGGUGUACCGUGAGGAGUGCUGGAGCGCAUAGAAGUGAGAAUGCCGGUAUGAGUAGCGAAAGACAGGUGAGAAUCCUGUCCACCGUAAGACUAAGGUUUCCAGGGGAAGGCUCGUCCGCCCUGGGUUAGUCGGGACCUAAGGAGAGACCGAAAGGUGUAUCCGAUGGACAACAGGUUGAUAUUCCUGUACUAGAGUAUAUAGUGAUGGAGGGACGCAGUAGGCUAACUAAACCAGACGAUUGGAAGUGUCUGGCCAAGCAGUGAGGUGUGAUAUGAGUCAAAUGCUUAUAUCUAUAACAUUGAGCUGUGAUGGGGAGCGAAGUUUAGUAGCGAAGUUAGUGACGUCACACUGCCAAGAAAAGCUUCUAGCGUUAAUCAUACUCUACCCGUACCGCAAACCGACACAGGUAGUCGAGGCGAGUAGCCUCAGGUGAGCGAGAGAACUCUCGUUAAGGAACUCGGCAAAAUGGCCCCGUAACUUCGGGAGAAGGGGCGCUGACUUAUGGUCAGCCGCAGUGAAUAGGCCCAAGCAACUGUUUAUCAAAAACACAGCUCUCUGCUAAAUCGUAAGAUGAUGUAUAGGGGGUGACGCCUGCCCGGUGCUGGAAGGUUAAGAGGAGUGCUUAGCGUAAGCGAAGGUAUGAAUUGAAGCCCCAGUAAACGGCGGCCGUAACUAUAACGGUCCUAAGGUAGCGAAAUUCCUUGUCGGGUAAGUUCCGACCCGCACGAAAGGCGUAAUGAUUUGGGCACUGUCUCAACGAGAGACUCGGUGAAAUUUUAGUACCUGUGAAGAUGCAGGUUACCCGCGACAGGACGGAAAGACCCCAUGGAGCUUUACUGCAGUUUGAUAUUGAGUAUCUGUACCACAUGUACAGGAUAGGUAGGAGCCUAUGACCUCGGGACGCCAGUUUCGAGUGAGGCGUUGUUGGGAUACUACCCUUGUGUUAUGGCUACUCUAACCCAGAUAGGUUAUCCCUAUCGGAGACAGUGUCUGACGGGCAGUUUGACUGGGGCGGUCGCCUCCUAAAAGGUAACGGAGGCGCCCAAAGGUUCCCUCAGAAUGGUUGGAAAUCAUUCGCAGAGUGUAAAGGUAUAAGGGAGCUUGACUGCGAGAGCUACAACUCGAGCAGGGACGAAAGUCGGGCUUAGUGAUCCGGUGGUUCCGCAUGGAAGGGCCAUCGCUCAACGGAUAAAAGCUACCCUGGGGAUAACAGGCUUAUCUCCCCCAAGAGUUCACAUCGACGGGGAGGUUUGGCACCUCGAUGUCGGCUCA